GUUGUGUUGUUCCCUAGAGGAGUGGCUUUCGGAGCUAACGCGUUAAAUCGACCGCCUGGGGAGUACGGCCGCAAGGUUAAAACUCAAAUGAAUUGACGGGGGCCCGCACAAGCGGUGGAGCAUGUGGUUUAAUUCGAUGCAACGCGAAGAACCUUACCUACUCUUGACAUCCAGAGAAYUUAGCAGAGAUGCUUURGUGCCUUCGGGAACUCUGAGACAGGUGCUGCAUGGCUGUCGUCAGCUCGUGUUGUGAAAUGUUGGGUUAAGUCCCGCAACGAGCGCAACCCUUAUCCUUUGUUGCCAGCGAUUCGGUCGGGAACUCAAAGGAGACUGCCGGUGAUAAACCGGAGGAAGGUGGGGAUGACGUCAAGUCAUCAUGGCCCUUACGAGUAGGGCUACACACGUGCUACAAUGGCGUAUACAAAGAGAAGCGACCUCGCGAGAGCAAGCGGAACUCAUAAAGUACGUCGUAGUCCGGAUUGGAGUCUGCAACUCGACUCCAUGAAGUCGGAAUCGCUAGUAAUCGUAGAUCAGAAUGCUACGGUGAAUACGUUCCCGGGCCUUGUACACACCGCCCGUCACACCAUGGGAGUGGGUUGCAAAAGAAGUAGGUAGCUUAACCUUCGGGAGGGCGCUUACCACUUUGUGAUUCAUGACUGGGGUGAAGUCGUAACAAGGUAACCGUAGGGGAACCUGCGGUUGGAUCACCUCCUUA
This 715-nucleotide ribosomal RNA is filed under the name Providencia rettgeri. RNAcentral's name for it is "bacterial SSU rRNA". Lineage: Bacteria; Pseudomonadati; Pseudomonadota; Gammaproteobacteria; Enterobacterales; Morganellaceae. The record is from RNAcentral.